RNAcentral lists this ribosomal RNA (497 nucleotides) under uncultured bacterium. Its description in RNAcentral is "partial 16S ribosomal RNA". It matches the Rfam family "Bacterial small subunit ribosomal RNA", at positions 28 to 507 of the family's 1533-position model. The record is from RNAcentral.
GACGAACGCUGGCGGCGUGCCUAAUACAUGCAAGUCGAGCGAUGAAGCUUUGUGCUUGCCCCGAUUUGAAGAGCAGCGAACGGGUGAGUAACGCGUGGGGAAUCUUUCUUUGAGCGGGGGACAACAUUUGGAAACGAAUGCUAAUACCGCAUAACAACUUUAAACAUAAGUUUUAAGUUUGAAAGAUGCAAUUGCCUCACUCAAAGAUGAUCCCGCGUUGUAUUAGCUAGUUGGUGAGGUAAAGGCUCACCAAGGCGAUGCUACAUAGCCGACCUGAGAGGGUGGUCGGCCACAUUGGGCCUGAGACACGGCCCAAACGCCUACGGGAGGCAGCAGUAGGGAAUCUUCGGCAAUGGACGAAAGUGUGACCGAGCAACGCCGCGUGAGUGAAGAAGGUUUUCGGAUCGUAAAACUCUGUUGGUAGAGAAGAACGUUGGUGAGAGUGGAAAGCUCAUCAAGUGACGGUAACUACCCAGAAAGGGACGGCCAACUACGUG